CGAUAAGUCCAUUUCAGAAUGUUCACCACUGCUGUCAAGACAAGAACAAUUGAAUUUAUUACUCUUUGAAGUUCUCGUUUGUUACUCUUUGAAGUUCUCGUUUGUUACUUGUUGAAGUUCUCGUUUGUUACUUGUUGAAGUUCUCAUUUAUUAGUCAUUGAAGUUGGAAUGAAUACAUCGACAACGUUUGGCCGGAAAGAACUGGGACAGCCUGCAACGUCUCAAGUACUUUCGCAAGAGUUCAUAAUUAUUAACUUGAAUAACAAAUAUU
RNAcentral lists this unclassified non-coding RNA (271 nucleotides) under Bombus terrestris (buff-tailed bumblebee). RNAcentral describes it as "misc RNA ENSBTSG00005037794.1". The record is from RNAcentral. Lineage: Eukaryota; Metazoa; Arthropoda; Insecta; Hymenoptera; Apidae.